UCACUGUUGCCUCUCCGACAUCUGUCCUCCCAUGUCACCCUCGUAACCCUUUGACAUGAGAUAAACGCUUCUGUCCGGUGAGUUAUUCUUACUCUCUUCCCAGACAGUCAUAUUUAUAAAAUUAAAAUAAUUAAAAAGAGUAAUUGUUCAACUGUUUUGGUAAAAAGAAAAUAAGAAAGCACGCUUCACACAUAAAAUAAUUUUUAAUUAUUUUCAAAAUAGAAAAAAAAUAUAACGUACACUUUUUAGUAUAUAAACCUUUUUUUUAAAAAAAACUUAAAGAUCUGUUUAAUAACUAUUUGGCAAAACAGUUAUAAAAAAUAAUUUUUAAAAGCGAUUUUAAUGUUUUUUAAAACAAAAGUCUAGUAUUCGUACUGUGUGUCAUUGACAUGUGUAAUGGGUAAUCAUUUUAGUAAUUCUUAAUUAUUUAAAAGCUUUUUUAAAUCAAGGUUUCAAUUGAGAAGACAUAGAAAUAGAUGAUUUGUCGUAUGUGAAGAAAUAGGUUCAUGAGUAGACAAUUUCGUGCAUGUUAGAAAAACCUUUGCGAUGGUCACACAUGUCUAAAAACUCAAGCGUGAAAGGUGGUUGGCGGCAGGGGUAGCAUGUGAGAGGGUUGAAAAUUGGUAUAAAGAUGCCUAUUGGGAGCGCUCGUCAAAGCGAGUAAGGUGUGCGGUGGGAAAAGAAUGUCGUCUUGCGAAGAAACCACAGCAGAGAGAGGGUGGUGGCCGCCGCGGUUGACUGAUGCCCAGCUCAGCAAAACCAGUCAGAAAGGUCCUGGUUCCUGGAAAGGUACCCAUCCCCUCCCUUUCAAGUUGCUCUCAUUAGUCAUUACUCAUGAGUCGCCACAUCAGUAUGUUCACUCGAAGCCCACAAUGCCUUGGGCAGUUGAAAAGCCAAAAAAAAUUGGUUCACACUAGGUGUUUCUCACACGCCUUCUCUCCACCACUUUAUAAAAAAUCAUUAAUCUUAUAUUAUUGUGACCUAUUACUCUGUCGAAAAUUCACUUAAUAGAAAAUUUUGUUCAUCAAUUUUUCUUAAGAAAAUAUUAAUCUAUCGAAUAGGCACUCGAAAUCUAGAUGAUUUAGGUUAUUGAAUGAUGACAUACAUAAAUGAAAUCGAUACAUUUAAAUACAAAUUAAUAAGAUUUAAAAAUAUACAUGGAAUAUCAUCUGAUUGAUAAUAUCUUUAUGAUGCCUUAAAACUCGAAAAUGUUUGUAUGAUAUCAAACCAAUGAAAUUUAGGUACAAAUAAUUAAAACUACAAAAUACAUAUGUAUUAAUUAUGGACAUUUCGGACAAAUAAAACUAAAAAUAUAUGCUUGUGUGUGUAAUAAUAAUAAUAAUAUCCUAGUUAGCUCUACAUAGGGAUGACAAUGGGGUAGAUCUUUUCGGGUACCCGUCCUAUCCUAUCCCUAAUAGGACGAGGUUUAAUUUUAAUAAACGGGUUUGGGAUGGGUUUGAGAAUUUUUUUUUAAAACCCGGGAUGGGUUCGGGUAUUGCCCCACCCCGCUCCAAUUAUAUAUAAAAUUAAAAUUAAAAUUUAAUUUAAUUUAAUUUUUAUUUUACUAUUUUUAAUAUAUAGAUAAUAAUAAAAUAUUUUUAAUAAAAUAAGUUAUAAAAAAAUAUAAUAAUUUAAUUAUUUAUAAAAUAUAUUUAUUUUAAUAUAAUUAAAAAUUUUAAAAAUAAUUUUUUUAAAAAAAAAUUAAAAUUCAAAAAAAGUUAAACAGGGUGGGUACGAGAAUUUAUCAUACCCAUCCCGCCCCACCUUGCCCGGUUUAAUUUUUUAAAUGGGACGAGAUGAGAAUUGUUUCGAAUAAAUGGGGCGAGGUUGAGAUGGCACGAUCCGUCCCGAAUUUGCCCUGUUACCAUCCUAGCUCUACAUGGUCUUCGCGACCAUAUAACUGCAACAGUAUGGCCAAAAAGGAAGAGGACAAAUAGCAAAGAAGAAAUUAGGAGAUGUGCAUGGUCAAGGAGGAGAAAAGUAGUAUCAGAGCUCCUGUCAGAUUGAAUGCAUUUUGUAUCUCUAGUGAAAUUGGUAGCUUCUUGGAUGAUGCACACUUCAAGUGCAUCAAUAAACAANNNNNNNNNNNNNNNNNNNNNNNNNNNNNNNNNNNNNNNNNNNNNNNNNNNNNNNNNNNNNNNNNNNNNNNNNNNNNNNNNNNNNNNNNNNNNNNNNNNNGCCGCCGCGGUUGACUGAUGCCCAGCUCAGCAAAACCAGUCAGAAAGGUCCUGGUUCCUGGAAAGGUACCCAUCCCCUCCCUUUCAAGUUGCUCUCAUUAGUCAUUACUCAUGAGUCG
RNAcentral lists this long non-coding RNA (2296 nucleotides) under Vitis vinifera (wine grape). RNAcentral's name for it is "long non-coding RNA (VVIN_LNC000764)". Lineage: Eukaryota; Viridiplantae; Streptophyta; Magnoliopsida; Vitales; Vitaceae. The record is from RNAcentral.